RNAcentral lists this ribosomal RNA (444 nucleotides) under Triticum aestivum (bread wheat). RNAcentral describes it as "partial small subunit ribosomal RNA". Lineage: Eukaryota; Viridiplantae; Streptophyta; Magnoliopsida; Poales; Poaceae. The record is from RNAcentral.
AUGGACAUUGGCCAAGUUACUCAAGAAAUGCAGAGAAAAAAGGUUAAAAGAAAUAUCAAGAUAACCAGAUGCUGUUGUGAGGCUAUGAUCGGAUUGAAGAGGCAAGAUGACGGCAAGUAUGAGGUCGCCCAGUUUGUUCAACCACACACACACCAACUUAUCUCACCAAGUAAGAGACAUCUCAUCCGGUCAAAUAGAGAGGUAACUAGUGAUUUGAGAAACAAACUAUCUACAUGCAGUAAGGCAUUGCUUGGCACAUCAAAAACAUUUCGCUUGGUUAGUAUUGAGAAAGGUGGGCAAGGAAACAUAGCUUGCACGAAACGUGACUUACAGAACUAUGACCGUGAUUUUAAGGCAGCAAUUAAGGGAGCAGAUGGACAACUUAUAGUAGACAUAAUGGAAAAUAAAAGAAAGGCCAAUCCAGCAUUCUACUUUGAUUACUAG